RNAcentral lists this long non-coding RNA (569 nucleotides) under Mytilus galloprovincialis (Mediterranean mussel). Lineage: Eukaryota; Metazoa; Mollusca; Bivalvia; Mytilida; Mytilidae. The record is from RNAcentral.
UAUAAAAAAGAAGAUGUGGUAUGACUGCCAAUGAGAAAACUAUCCACAAAAGACCAAAAUGACACAGACAUUAACAACUAUAGGUCACUGUACGGCCUUCAACAAUGAGCAAAGCCCAUACUGCAUAGUCAGCUAUAAAAGGCCCCGAUAAGAUGAUGUAAAACAAUUCAAACGAGAAAACUAACGGCCUUAUUUAUAUAAAAAAUGAACGAAAAACAAAAACAUAAACAAACGACAACCACUGAGUUACAGGCUCCUGACUUGGGACAGACAUGUACAUAAUUAAUGUGGCGGGGUAAAACAUGUUAGCGGGAUCCCAAUCCUCCCCUAACCUGGGACAGUGGUAUAACAGUACAACAUAAGAACAAACUAUAAAAAUGAGUUGAAAAAGGCUCAACUCAUCAGAUGGACAAAAAUACAAGUGGACGUGGCGGGGUACUUAUACAUCCCGACACAAAAAGACACAAUGAACAGAUCUGAGAGUACUCGCAGUUAUCUGACAGCUAGUUCAAAGCCACUAACAACUAAUAAAAAAAUCAUGCAUCUAAUACUAAACUAUCAAUCCGUAC